Long non-coding RNA from Bos taurus (domestic cattle), 545 nucleotides. NCBI's taxonomy places the organism in Eukaryota, Metazoa, Chordata, Mammalia, Artiodactyla, Bovidae. The record is from Ensembl.
CUCCAGGCAAGAACACUGGAGUGGGUUGCCAUUUCCUUCUCCAAUGCAUGAAAAUGAAAAGUGAAAGUGAAGUCACACAGUCGUGUCCGACUCUUCGAGACCCCAUGGACUGCAGCCUUCCGGGCUCCUCCGUCCAUGGGAUUUUCCAGCAAUUGAACACUUACUGAGUGUUGGGUACUGUCCUCGCACCAUCAUUUUAUGGAUAAAACUGUGGUUUGACAAAUGAAGUAAAGCAAGCCUGUCUACCCCAAAGAGGCAGAGCAGAGUCCGAGCCAGGUCAUGGACCAAGACUUGUGCUCUUUGGUGUUUAAUCUCAGAAGGAUUGGAGGUGAGAGGACAAUGAAAUUUAUUAGCAACUCCGUGCCCAUAUUCUGUGGUUGACCCUGGAUUGGAAAGUUUCCAGCCUGGAAUGAUUAUAAUCGAAAGAAACCUUUCUCCUUAUUCUUCUUGAUGCCAACAUGCCCACUUCUCUCUUUUAAAACAAUAGCAUGAUAUCUUUGAUUAAUGUUAUGAAGCCCAGAGAUCUUCAGAAUGGGUCUUCAGAG